UUGGGAGUACCAAGAUGGCGGCGGAUGGCUUCAACCAGUCGACAUACCGCUCGAUGUGUCAGCACUAUCCAGUCUUAUUUUUUUUUCGGUCAGUGGUUUGGUUGAAAAUAGCCACCCCUUGAGCAUUUCAUUUUUCUUCAAACGAUAGAUCAAUAACUUGAGUAAACCUUUGGAACAUUUCCAAAAUUGUGUCAAGUUCCGUUGUGCCACUUUUUUUGUGGUGUGGCUCACAAGUGAAAUGAUUGCAGAGGGCCAGUCUCCGGAGUUAUGAAGUGGCAGUCCGGAAGAGACCACUGCAAGGCCAGGGUGUCGGAGGGUGGCGUGGCCAGCGUGCACGGCUUUGGGGCAGUCCGGCGUCAGAACGCGGCCGUUCUCCCCCACGCUUCCUGUGAUGGACAGACGGGCCUUGUUCCGCAUGGCUUCAGAAAAAGACAGCUGGAUGAGGAAAUGCAGGACAGAGCAAAUCUAUUUUAUGCAAAUGCCAUGGAGGUGAACUGUAUCUGUGCAAGACGUGUCACACUGAGAUCCAGAUUGCUGGUGUACAGUGUUAACCAGGGAUGUCGCCUGCUGAUGGAGCCCUCGUCCCCUCCUGCUGCUUCGCUAUACCCCUCCGGCUAGUCUCAACCUGUGCGCGUGUGUGUGUAGCAACUUUCCUACAAGCCUCCUGCUCACACCCCUGUAGGGAUUGUGACCUCCAAACAAAAAUCAGGGACGCUGGGCUGUAUUUUGGAUUUUAAAUUGAGUCUGAAAUGGGAGGUUUUUGUUAUUACCUCGGAAUACUUCACGUAGUAUUGUCUGAAGGAAUUUGCUAUUUUUUUUUGUUUUUGGGGUAUGCACCCGUACAACUGUACCUUUUUUUUUUUCAUCGACUAAAAUGUCCUAUAGAGUAAUUGUGAAUAAAUAUUAAAAAGGCUUGGAAAUGUUUGAGAAGUUUUGCAAUUUGUCCAAACUUACCACUAGUGGGCUUUACAUAGAUUUUGUCGACGUACUCAUCAUAGAUGCUUUCAUGAAUCCCGGAGAAUAGUGCUUAACUAGUUCUACAUCUGUUGGCAUAGAUGAAUGGCUUGAGAAAAAACUAUUAUUGCACCGUUCCAGAUUCCAGAUACUUGUGUGUUGUAUUCCUCUUCGCGUUGACUCUGCUGCCAGCUAUUUGAGCUCUCUAGUUUCUGCCAUCAUGGCAGCUAUGUCGGAAUGUUGCCAUAUUCAACAUGGCGACCACAUAAUCAUGUCUGUUUUAUCCGGGGUCCGUUACGUCGAGAUUCCAGGGUAUGUCAAAUUCUCAACCCGUUUAUAUCUCUGCAAAAGUGGAUGCGCAUUCACCGCGUCUUCGCCCAUUGUUGGUCUGGCAUGCACAAAGAUGGCAGCAAACAUGUUUUUCCGUUUAAUUGGUCGAUCAUGUAAAUAUUCCCUUAAUCCCACGGUUUUUUUUUUUUUUUUUUGGCUCACUCGACCAUAUGUUUGCAAUUUUCAUCUGAUUUGAGAGCCCCUUGAAAAAGCCCAUUAGCUCAAUGCUGCAAAUAUGACAAUACUGUUUUCUCGGGUCCGUGAGUCACAUCCCGUUCGAAUCAUAAUUGCUUUUCUUUCUCUGCGGUCGGGCAUGAGACUACUCGGUCUGUCUCACAGUCAGGUUUUCUGUUUAGUUGCUACAUGUAAAUGUAUUGCUGGUAUUUUAUGAUUAUUUAUAGUUUCGUGUGUGUUCAUGCACAAGUAAAGAGAGUUCAGAGAUAUUGAUCAAGACAGUGUUCUCUGGGGUGGUCUAAUCUACAAGCUAUGACAGUGGUUCCCAAAGUGGGGUCCACGGACCCCCAGGGGGUGAAAAACGUCUUUCCAGGGGGUCCGCGACACAAUGUCUGAGACAGAGUAAUAAUAAUAUAUUUUUCUGAAGAAAAGAACAAAAAUAUCCAGCUGCAUUUGAAAGCACCGCGGGGAAGUUUUGACCGCUAUUUUAGACCUGAUGAAUUGUCUGGAAAAGAAGAAUCAUGGGUUCAAGAUCCUUUUGGCUUCAAUCUUGACACAAACUCAUCGAACUCCGUCAUUCAGAAGCCAUCCGUCAACAAUUUGGGAACGAGUCAAACAGCACUUUUUGCUGCGAGGGGUUGGAACUGUUCCCAAAACUCGCCAAUACUAUGUUCCCUCCGUUACUACGUACAAGUGUGAAGGGCUUUUCAACUCUAUUAGUUGUGAAGACCAAAAAAAACACAAAAUCGUCUGGAAGCUAAUCAUGAUGUGAGAAUUGCCCUUUCCAGUGUUGAACCACGUUUAGAUUUAUUGUGUAAAAAUAAAAAGCGAGAACACGUGAGCCACUAAAAUGGAAUAUUUCUUUGUACCAGAACGGCAGAGCUGUGUCCAGCACUACAUUAUUGGCGAAUGUUGAGGUUGGGGGUCCGGGCCCAGGUUGACUUUGGGAACCACUGAGCUGUGAUUUGAUGAUUCGAGAAAUGAAAAGCAGUUUAUAAACAGUCACAUGUCAUUAUUCAAAGCCAGACUUCAAAAUGCAACAAUCAUCGGAGAACUUUUGUUGUUCACCGACAUGACAGACAGACACUAUGAGGAGAGGCAACCUCACAUUCAUGCUCCCAGACACGUUUUCCAU
Syngnathoides biaculeatus (alligator pipefish) is the source of this 2593-nucleotide long non-coding RNA. RefSeq lists it as uncharacterized. The record is from RefSeq and is a predicted model, not a curated record. NCBI's taxonomy places the organism in Eukaryota, Metazoa, Chordata, Actinopteri, Syngnathiformes, Syngnathidae. The transcript is spliced from 3 exons.